AAUCAACGCUGGCGGCGCGCUUAACACAUGCAAGUCGAACGAGAAAGGGAGCAAUCCUGAGUAAAGUGGCGCACGGGUGAGUAACACGUGGGUAAUCUACCCUCUGGUGGGGAAUAACUCUGGGAAACCGGAGCUAAUACCGCAUAAGACCGGGAGGUGAAAGGGCGAAAGUUCGCCGGAGGAGGAGCCCGCGGCUGAUUAGCUAGUUGGUAGGGUAAGAGCCUACCAAGGCUGAGAUCGGUAGCCGGCCUGAGAGGGCACACGGCCACACUGGCACUGAAACACGGGCCAGACUCCUACGGGAGGCAGCAGUGGGGAAUCUUGCACAAUGGAGGAAACUACUGAUGCAGCGACGCCGCGUGAGUGAUGAAGCCCUUCGGGUGU
RNAcentral lists this ribosomal RNA (384 nucleotides) under uncultured bacterium. RNAcentral describes it as "bacterial SSU rRNA". It matches the Rfam family "Bacterial small subunit ribosomal RNA", at positions 29 to 426 of the family's 1533-position model. The record is from RNAcentral.